GACGAACGCUGGCGGCGUGCUUAACACAUGCAAGUCGAACGGGAACCUUUAUUUCGGUAAAGGUGAGAGUGGCAAACGGGUGAGUAACACGUAGGCAACCUGCCGACAGGAUGGGGACAACAUUCCGAAAGGAAUGCUAAUACCGAAUGGAGUCCGGAGAUGGCAUCAUCUCUGGAUAAAAGAUGGCCUCUGAAUAUGCUAUCGCCUGUCGAUGGGCCUGCGUCUGAUUAGCCAGUUGGCGGGGUAACGGCCCACCAAAGCGACGAUCAGUAGCCGGUCUGAGAGGAUGAACGGCCACAUUGGGACUGAGACACGGCCCAGACUCCUACGGGAGGCAGCAGUGGGGAAUCUUCCACAAUGGGCGAAAGCCUGAUGGAGCAACGCCGCGUGAGUGAAGAAGGUCUUCGGAUCGUAAAGCUCUGUUGCACGGGACGAAAACCGAGCUUGAAAAUAUUGAGCUUGGGUGACG
Molecule: ribosomal RNA, 469 nt
Filed under: Selenomonas sputigena
Lineage: Bacteria; Bacillati; Bacillota; Negativicutes; Selenomonadales; Selenomonadaceae
Description: bacterial SSU rRNA
Rfam family: Bacterial small subunit ribosomal RNA
Source: RNAcentral